GACGGGGGGGGCAAGUGUUCUUCGGAAUGACUUGGGGCGUAAAGGGCACGGUAGGCGGUGAAUCGGGUUGAAAGUUGAAAGUCGCCAAAAAAGUGGCGGAAUGCUCUCGAAACCAAUUCACUUGAGUGAGACAGAGGAGAGUGGAAUUUCGUGUGUAGGGGUGAAAUCCGUAGAUCUACGAAGGAACGCCAAAAAGCGAAGGCAGCCUCUCUGGGUCCCCUACCGACGCUGGGGUGCGAAAGCAUGGGGGAGC
RNAcentral lists this ribosomal RNA (253 nucleotides) under uncultured bacterium. Its description in RNAcentral is "partial 16S ribosomal RNA". It matches the Rfam family "Bacterial small subunit ribosomal RNA", at positions 524 to 769 of the family's 1533-position model. The record is from RNAcentral.